Molecule: long non-coding RNA, 573 nt
Organism: Dermochelys coriacea (leatherback sea turtle)
Lineage: Eukaryota; Metazoa; Chordata; Testudines; Dermochelyidae
Exons: 3
Source: RefSeq, a predicted model, not a curated record
UUGCCGGAAGGGGCGGGGUUGCUGCCUCGGCGAGAGAGAGCCGCGUGGCGGGCGGCCGCGCUUGUUCUAGCGGGGGGAGGGAAGCGACGUUUCCUCUGCGCCGGAGAACGGGCCCCGUCGCGCUCCCACCAACGGGGCUAAAUUCUUCCGGCGCUCUGCUUGGCGCGCGCUCCCGCCUGGCCGAGGCCCGCCUGCCUUUCUGGCCGGCGCGUGGGUGCUCCCCGCCCCACGGUCCGGGCGCGGGAGGCUGAGAGGGGAACAUGGCGCCAGGGGAGGGGGGGCGCUGGUGGCGUGGCCAGCGGCGGGGGCGGAGGAGGCCGCCGCCUUUCGGGUAACGUGGCUUAUUGCGUCCCUGCAGGUGGAGGUGGAGGUGGGGCCGGGGCCGGGCCGCAGCGGAGCCGCCGCCGAUGGGAGCGGGAUGCAGCAGGGACCUAGCAGACUUGAGAUCCAGAGCAACCAUCUGUUGCCAGGACAAACAUUCCUAAGUUGUGAUGACUUUGAAGAAGGUGGGGUAAACAACACAGCCAGACUUGUAGAAACUUGAAGUAAAACAAGUUUGCUCAAGGGCCAUUU